GCUUCCUUGGUGUAGUCGGGUAAGCAUCUACCACUCCAAUAUCUUCACCGAUCUUAACCAACACCUGCUAGUUAUCACGUCGGUCUCAUAUCUCGUCGAGUAUGACUGUUCUAAGAACAGAAAUCCGAAGGCCGCCAGUUCGAAUCUGGCAGGGAGCA
Non-coding RNA from Ascochyta rabiei, 158 nucleotides. The record is from the annotation of a RefSeq genome assembly. NCBI's taxonomy places the organism in Eukaryota, Fungi, Ascomycota, Dothideomycetes, Pleosporales, Didymellaceae.